This 459-nucleotide ribosomal RNA is filed under the name uncultured bacterium. RNAcentral's name for it is "partial 16S ribosomal RNA". It matches the Rfam family "Bacterial small subunit ribosomal RNA", at positions 338 to 795 of the family's 1533-position model. The record is from RNAcentral.
CCUACGGGAGGCAGCAGUGAGGAAUAUUGGUCAAUGGGAGAGAUCCUGAACCAGCCAAGCCGCGUGAGGGAAGACGGCCCUAUGGGUUGUAAACCUCUUUUGUCGGAGAACAAAACCCGGGACGUGUCCCGGACUGCGUGUAUCCCAAGAAAAAGCAUCGGCUAACUCCGUGCCAGCAGCCGCGGUAAUACGGAGGAUCGGAGCGUUAUCCGGAUUUAUUGGGUUUAAGGGGUGCGCAGGCGGACUGUCAAGCCAGCGGUAAAAUUUCGGGGCUCAACCCCGUAGUGCCGUUGAAACUGGCGUUCUUGAGUGAGCGAGAGGUAUGCGGAAUGCGUGGUGUAGCGGUGAAAUGCAUAGAUAUCACGCAGAACUCCGAUUGCGAAGGCAGCAUGCCGGCGCUCAACUGACGCUCAUGCACGAAAGCGUGGGUAUCGAACAGGAUUAGAUACCCGGGUAGUC